Molecule: long non-coding RNA, 299 nt
Organism: Thalassophryne amazonica
Lineage: Eukaryota; Metazoa; Chordata; Actinopteri; Batrachoidiformes; Batrachoididae
Exons: 2
Source: RefSeq, a predicted model, not a curated record
AAACUGUGCAAAUCACCAGUUCAAAGGCUGUGGAUGAACAUUUCACCUGUGAGUAUGAUUGAAAUGAGAAGUAAUGAACAAUAAUUUGAUGAGUUCUCUCCCUUAUUCCAGUAUACAGCAAAUAAUAAUAAUAAGUGGCUUAUUAACUCAACAUGUGUAGCCACCUGUUGUAUUGUGUGUUGGACGCACUAUUUUAAGACAUUUAUUAGGUCUACUUGUGCAUAGUUUUGGCGCUUUAGGCGUUGUUGCUACAAGCUUUUUUACUGACGUUAGGCUGAAGCUCAUAGAGCUGUGUAUAA